RNAcentral lists this small RNA (830 nucleotides) under Pongo abelii (Sumatran orangutan). RNAcentral describes it as "processed transcript". The record is from RNAcentral. Lineage: Eukaryota; Metazoa; Chordata; Mammalia; Primates; Hominidae.
GGAGUAAUUCCAAACUGAAAUGUCAACCUGUGGACUGUGGCAUUCCUGAAUCCAUUGAGAAUGGUAAAGUUGAAGACCCAGAGAGCACUUUGUUUGGUUCUGUCAUCCACUACACCUGUGAGGAGCCAUAUUACUACAUGGAAAAUGGAGGAGGUGGGGAGUAUCACUGUGCUGGUAACGGGAGCUGGGUGAAUGAGGUGCUGGGCCCAGAGCUGCCGAAAUGUGUUCCAGGACUGAACAGUGACCUGCCAGAGUCCAGCUCAGUGAGGUGGCAUUAUCACUGUGCCAUGGGCUGCCAGGGCCGUGGGGAACCUCCUCAGCUACACUGAAGCCAGGCCAACUGGAAGGAAAUAGAAACGUCAGCCAGCGACAGUUGGUGUCUGGUAAUGUAGCUGCAGUGAGAAGAUACAGAACUGCUAAAAACAGGGCCUGAAAGCUGAGAGUUCUGUGGAGUCCCCAGAGAACCCUUUGAAGAAAAACAGAGGAUAAUUGGAGGAUCCGAUGCAGAUAUUAAAAACUUCCCCUGGCAAGUCUUCUUUGACAACCCAUGGGCUGGUGGAGCGCUCAUUGAUGAGUACUGGGUGCUGACGGCUGCUCAUGUUGUGGAGGGAAACAGGGAGCCAACAAUGUACGUUGGGUCCACCUCAGUGCAGACCUCACGGCUGGCAAAAUCCAAGAUGCUCACUCCUGAGCAUGUGUUUAUUCAUCCGGGAUGGAAGCUGCUGGAAGUCCCAGAAGGACGAACAAAUUUUGAUAAUGACAUUGCACUGGUGCGGCUGAAAGACCCAGUGAAAAUGGGACCCACCGUCUCUCCCAUCUGCCUGCCAGGC